GACGAACGCUGGCGGCGUGCUUAACACAUGCAAGUCGAACGGAAAGGCCCUGCUUUUGUGGGGUGCUCGAGUGGCGAACGGGUGCGUAACACGUGAGUAACCUGCCCUUGACUUUGGGAUAACUUCAGGAAACUGGGGCUAAUACCGGAUAGGAGCUCCUGCUGCAUGGUGGGGGUUGGAAAGUCUCGGCGGUUGGGGAUGGACUCGCGGCUUAUCAGCUUGUUGGUGGGGUAGUGGCUUACCAAGGCUUUGACGGGUAGCCGGCCUGAGAGGGUGACCGGCCACAUUGGGACUGAGAUACGGAGCAGACGCCUACGGGAGGCAGCAGUGGGGAAUAUUGCACAAUGGGAGGGGGCCUGAUGCAGCAACGCCGCGGGCGGGAUGACGGCCUUCGGGGUGUAAACCGCUUUCGCCUGUGACGAAGCGUGAGUGACGGUAAUGGGUAAAGAAGCACCGGCUAACUACGUG
Molecule: ribosomal RNA, 468 nt
Filed under: uncultured bacterium
Lineage: Bacteria
Description: partial 16S ribosomal RNA
Rfam family: Bacterial small subunit ribosomal RNA
Source: RNAcentral